GAUUAACGCUAGCGGCAGGCCUAAUACAUGCAAGUCGAACGGUAACAGGUCCAGCAAUGGAUGCUGACGAGUGGCGCACGGGUGCGUAACACGUAUGCAAUCUACCCUUAACUGGGGGAUAGCCCCGAGAAAUCGGGAUUAAUACCCCAUAAUAUUAUGAAGCGGCAUCACUUUAUAAUUAAAGCUCCGGCGGUUUUGGAUGAGCAUGCGCGACAUUAGCUAGUUGGUGAGGUAACGGCUCACCAAGGCUGCGAUGUCUAGGGGUUCUGAGAGGAUUCACCCCCACACUGGUACUGAGACACGGACCAGACUCCUACGGGUGGCUG
RNAcentral lists this ribosomal RNA (326 nucleotides) under uncultured Bacteroidota bacterium. Its description in RNAcentral is "bacterial SSU rRNA". It matches the Rfam family "Bacterial small subunit ribosomal RNA", at positions 28 to 351 of the family's 1533-position model. Lineage: Bacteria; Pseudomonadati; Bacteroidota. The record is from RNAcentral.